Molecule: small RNA, 31 nt
Filed under: Arabidopsis thaliana (thale cress)
Lineage: Eukaryota; Viridiplantae; Streptophyta; Magnoliopsida; Brassicales; Brassicaceae
Description: ATSL010790
Source: RNAcentral
CGCUCUACCAACUGAGCUAGACGGGCUUUGU